Molecule: long non-coding RNA, 744 nt
Filed under: Fukomys damarensis (Damara mole-rat)
Lineage: Eukaryota; Metazoa; Chordata; Mammalia; Rodentia; Bathyergidae
Description: lncRNA (ENSFDAG00000031758.1)
Source: RNAcentral
UAGCGCCAACCCAGCUGCUUCUACUGGCUGGGUCCCAGUGAGCCCUCCCCACGGUUCAUGCAGCAUGUGGAGCCCUGAGAUGAGGCAAGAGUUUGCACCCGCUUGGCUUCAUGGUGCAAGAACGUGGAUUCACAGAGGAGUUCCAGCAAACCCUGCCCAAGAGAGCUGCCCUGCCUGGGGACCUUCUGGGGAAAGGCAGCCCCAGCACCCACCAGCCCUCUCUGCACACGGUGGGUUCUCAGGAUCACGUGGGGUGUGAUGUGGCUGGCAGCAAGGACAUGAGUGAGGCUCAGCUUGGGUGCCCAUCUGCUGCUGUCUUUGUUUUGUUUUUGAUACUGAAGCUUGAACUCAGGGCCAUUGCACUGAGCUACACCCCCAACCCUCUUGACUCUUCAUUUUGAGACAGAGUCCUGCAGUGUCACUAAAUUUCACAGCCUGGGUUCGAACUUGCAAUCCUCCUGUCUCGGCUUUCCAGAGUGCUGGGGUUACAGGUGUGAGCCACCACGCCUGACUCUGCUGGUGUCUCCAAAUAAGAUGUUCAACCUUUCAGUUUCUUCAUCUGAGCAAUGAAAGUAACUAAUAAUUGGGAAGGGCUUUCAUGGAAAUUAAAGUAGCAUACUCAUGAUGAGUCAGGCCUCAUGUCUGACACUGGAGAUGGGCUAUUUUUAAAACCAAUAUGUGUAUGUGCAGGUGUGUUUGUAGAUAUUUAAAAUACAUCUACUUAUCAAGCAAAGAAGGAAAUUA